Gossypium raimondii (Peruvian cotton) is the source of this 73-nucleotide non-coding RNA. NCBI's taxonomy places the organism in Eukaryota, Viridiplantae, Streptophyta, Magnoliopsida, Malvales, Malvaceae. The record is from Rfam.
GCGCUUUUAGUUUCAUUCGGUAGAACGUGGGUCUCCAAAUCCAAUAUCGUAGGUUCAAAUCCUACAGAGCAUA